UAACGCGUGGGCAACCUGCCCCGCACUGGGGGACAACAGCCGGAAACGGCUGCUAAUACCGCAUAUGCGCACAGCUUUGCAUGAAGCAGUGUGGAAAACUCCGGUGGUGCGGGAUGGGCCCGCGUCUGAUUAGCUGGUUGGCGGGGCAACGGCCCACCAAGGCGACGAUCAGUAGCCUGCCUGAGAGGGUGGACGGCCACAUUGGGACUGAGACACGGCCCAGACUCCUACGGGAGGCAGCAG
Molecule: ribosomal RNA, 243 nt
Filed under: uncultured bacterium
Lineage: Bacteria
Description: partial 16S ribosomal RNA
Rfam family: Bacterial small subunit ribosomal RNA
Source: RNAcentral